This 675-nucleotide ribosomal RNA is filed under the name Streptomyces sp. SpC090624SC_08. RNAcentral describes it as "bacterial SSU rRNA". It matches the Rfam family "Bacterial small subunit ribosomal RNA", at positions 56 to 745 of the family's 1533-position model. Lineage: Bacteria; Bacillati; Actinomycetota; Actinomycetes; Kitasatosporales; Streptomycetaceae. The record is from RNAcentral.
UGCAAGUCGAACGAUGAACCGGUUUCGGCCGGGGAUUAGUGGCGAACGGGUGAGUAACACGUGGGCAAUCUGCCCUGCACUCUGGGACAAGCCCUGGAAACGGGGUCUAAUACCGGAUAUGACGCGUUCCCGCAUGGGAUACGUGUGGAAAGCUCCGGCGGUGCAGGAUGAGCCCGCGGCCUAUCAGCUUGUUGGUGGGGUGAUGGCCUACCAAGGCGACGACGGGUAGCCGGCCUGAGAGGGCGACCGGCCACACUGGGACUGAGACACGGCCCAGACUCCUACGGGAGGCAGCAGUGGGGAAUAUUGCACAAUGGGCGCAAGCCUGAUGCAGCGACGCCGCGUGAGGGAUGACGGCCUUCGGGUUGUAAACCUCUUUCAGCAGGGAAGAAGCGUGAGUGACGGUACCUGCAGAAGAAGCGCCGGCUAACUACGUGCCAGCAGCCGCGGUAAUACGUAGGGCGCAAGCGUUGUCCGGAAUUAUUGGGCGUAAAGAGCUCGUAGGCGGCUUGUCGCGUCGGAUGUGAAAGCCCGGGGCUUAACUCCGGGUCUGCAUUCGAUACGGGCAGGCUAGAGUUCGGUAGGGGAGAUCGGAAUUCCUGGUGUAGCGGUGAAAUGCGCAGAUAUCAGGAGGAACACCGGUGGCGAAGGCGGAUCUCUGGGCCGAUACUGACG